Trifolium pratense (red clover) is the source of this 2522-nucleotide long non-coding RNA. RefSeq lists it as uncharacterized. The transcript is spliced from 9 exons. Lineage: Eukaryota; Viridiplantae; Streptophyta; Magnoliopsida; Fabales; Fabaceae. The record is from RefSeq and is a predicted model, not a curated record.
CCAAAAAAGAAUGAGCUUUCAAUAUAUGCUAACAUUUAUGGUAACUGUUAUUCGUUUCAUAACUUUCUCGGGUGUAAAACAUUAUUACAUUGAUGGUUUGAGCAAAGCCUCAUACUUAUUUAUGUUCAGGUAGAGUAUACAAUUUGAUUUUCUUGGUUCUAAAAUUUAUUUGAGUUGUGAGAAGAGACUGGUUUUAUAUAGCAGCACAAAAAAAAAAAUGCAGUUUGUUUUUUUAAAAAAAUGCAAUUAAUAUUUGAUACUCUGUUAACAAACUUAUAAUUUAUUGGAACUCAUGCCUAUGAUUUAGUAAUUGAUAUAUAAGUGUAUUCUUCAAGCAAUUACCCAUAAAUUUGAAUUAAUAUUGAAAAAGACUUACUUCCAGUGAAGAACUCCUGUUAUGGACAGUUGAAAUAGCAGUUACUUGCAUUAUAAGUACAUAUUGCUUUAUGCAUUUUCCAUUCUUCUUUUAUUAUUCAAUUUCAAUGAAACCAUAGGUACAAACAAUGAUUGUCUUUAGAGAAGUACUCCACCACUAAAGACAAUCAUUUUUUAUAUUUACAAUUUACAAGUUAUUCAUUUAAUGUUUUAUAUUCUUAAUAUUGUAUGCUCAUUCCUCUUUUAUACAACAAAUAUAUUAUUAUUCAACUUUAUGUUGGUAUCAGAGCCUGUUUAAUUCACGAACCUGUGGGUUAUUGAUGCCAUCUUUUCCUUGCUUGUAGUGAACUGGAGUUGCUUUUAAUGCCUAGAAAUUCUUGAGAUAAUCCUCUGGUUCAGUGGCCAACUCUUUCUACUCGCAAGCAAGGGAAAUAAUGGUAACUUUUUGGAUUUUAUGACUUUCAAAUUCACAAGUCCCGUGAUGAAUCAAGGCGUGCUAAUUAGACCCUGAUGAUCUUCUUCCGCUACUACCUGAUAUGAGUCCUUUCUGUCAUGAUAUAAUUUUAUCCAGUUGGCGAGCUCAAUUGAGUAAUAAUGGUUCAAACCCUUCCUUGUUUAGAGCAGUCUAUAAUGCAUCUGGAUGGCCAUAGCCUUGGGUUAUCGAAGCUUUGCCCAGUAUACUUCAAAAGAUGACCGGGAAGACAAAUAUAUGGCCACUCUGAUUUGCUUAAUGAGUUGACCAAACCCGCUUUUAGGGCCGAUCCUGAUCUCAAACCUAAAUUGAAUAAUAUCAUCAUACAACAACUUGACGAUGCUGCUGGUGAUUUUUCUGGACUUGCUUUAAAAUGCCUUUCUCCGUUAGUGAGGAAGAUGAAUGAGCCAAGGGUUGUCGAAAUGUGCAGUCAACUGUGUGACAAAAUACUAAGCAGGACACUGGGACACUGCUGCUAGCAUUGCUUUGAGGACAGUUGUUGCUGAAGUUUCUACCCAAUCCCUUGCGCAUUCUAUUCUCACCACAAUUGAUAAAAGGAAUUACCGGCAAAUUUAUAUUUUUGGGUACAGUAAGCCUCGUAGCUUUGUGGAGCAAUAUGAGCUAUGCCUGAUGCCAGCAGCACUCUACUAGUUUCUUCAUGUUCACGGCAUGCGAGCUAUAAUGGGAUCAGAUUGAUUUUGGGCCUUUUCGUUUUGUGGUCCAUGAGCUACUAGAUUCUUCUCGACAUGGCAAUAAUGCCGCAUUACUAAUUGUUUGCUUUUAUUUAUGAACUUGCAUAGUUUACAUUUUUUUGGGUGAGUGUUAAUAUAAUUAGUCAUGAACUCUUCAUUUGGUGUUUUUUAAUUCCGAAUCUUCUUUUAUUUGAAUGACCACAGGAUAUGAGCACUGAGAUUAAAUGUAAAUGCCUGGAUAUUUUAUGUGAUGCCCUUCAGAUGAUUAGCUCAUUGUUCUCGAGGGACUUCAUUCUUCUCGAAGAACCAUUCGGUCACAGCGAUCCAGCCAACAGGGUCGGUUCCCAUGAAAUCUGGUAAUUGCUUCUUCAUAGUCCAAACGUCCUCCAUCACUGGCUCCUCGCUGGUUCGAAUCCGGUAGGUCGGACCAAUUAAUAGUGCUGCCCUCCCCUCAAGUAUAGGAGGAAUUCAAACAGUUUUAAUUAAAGUUGCAUGUGCCAAUUCUUGUUUCCAUUCAUCAGUUUGUGCUAUUAGGAAGCAAAGGUAAGAAGAAAAACUCAUCUUUUAUCCCUAUUUCCCUCUGUUUGGCUGAACCCUUAACCCCUUCAUAAAUUCAAUCAUUAUUAUUAUUUUGGCACUUAAUUGCAUGUGAGGUUUUGUGGAGAAAGAAGCAUCGAAUAAUUAUUCUGGAGCUGCAAAUCAAGGAACAUGAGUUAGUAGAAGGGUUGGAAUUUUGGAUCAAGUAUGGUAAUUGGCAUCUUUGUUGCAUUUCAUAUGAGAUAAACAAGUCGAUCAAGAUAAGGGUAAGAACUAAGAAGUAAGUUGGCGAACGGAGUUGUGCACGUGUUCUUUGACGGACUCCUAUUAGUUUAUUUUCUUCCUUAUUUUGUAUAGAUUGAACUAUUUGAAUUAUGUAGCGAUUAUUUCCGCUGUUUGUAUUUGAAUAAUUGUUGGUGAUAGUGUACCAUGCAAAUUCAGACGAA